Molecule: ribosomal RNA, 154 nt
Filed under: Betta taeniata
Lineage: Eukaryota; Metazoa; Chordata; Actinopteri; Anabantiformes; Osphronemidae
Description: partial 12S ribosomal RNA
Source: RNAcentral
ACACACCGCCCGUCACUCUCCCCAAGUCUAAAGCCCCCGCACUUAAUAAUAAGUACCACCAGCAAAGGGGAGGCAAGUCGUAACAUGGUAAGUGUACCGGAAGGUGUACUUGGAUAAAGCAAAAUGUGGCUAAAUAGAAAAGCAUCUCUCUUAC